UAGGGAAUCUUGCCACAAUGGACGAAAGUCUGAUGGAGCAACGCCGCGUGAGUGAUGAAGGGUUUCGGCUCGUAAAACUCUGUUGUUGGAGAAGAACAGGUGUGAGAGUAACUGUUCACAUCUUGACGGUAUCCAACCAGAAAGCCACGGCUAACUACGUGCCAGCAGCCGCGGUAAUACGUAGGUGGCAAGCGUUGUCCGGAUUUAUUGGGCGUAAAGCGAGCGCAGGCGGUUUCUUAGGUCUGAUGUGAAAGCCUUCGGCUUAACCGGAG
Molecule: ribosomal RNA, 272 nt
Filed under: uncultured bacterium
Lineage: Bacteria
Description: partial 16S ribosomal RNA
Rfam family: Bacterial small subunit ribosomal RNA
Source: RNAcentral